Leopardus geoffroyi (Geoffroy's cat) is the source of this 584-nucleotide long non-coding RNA. RefSeq lists it as uncharacterized. The record is from RefSeq and is a predicted model, not a curated record. The transcript is spliced from 4 exons. NCBI's taxonomy places the organism in Eukaryota, Metazoa, Chordata, Mammalia, Carnivora, Felidae.
GGGGGCCUGGGCGUGAAAAUGAGCCUCCGUGGCAGAAAGAGGAGGCGGUGGCGGUGUAAGACGUCUGCUCCCUGUGAACCAGGGGACUCCACGGGGCCUCCGUCCACCUACAAAUGGGGAAAGGAGUCUAUGUGGACGUCGUCAAGCUUCCCAUUUGGUUCCCCUCAGUAAGGAGGAGGAGCCCAACUGGGGAGCUGGGUUGGGACUGCGAUCCUUAGUUCUCUCAGCCCUGUGAGGCUGACCCCCUGCCCUGCACAUCUCCUGUAAACAUCCUGGUGGGAGCUGAGUGGCCCUGGGCUGCCUCCGUCAGAGAUGACACAGAGGCCAGACAGGACCCCCCAGGGACAGACAGACGGACACACACAGCCUCGGACCUGCUGACCUCACACCAGCCGGCCCCACCUCGCCCAGGGGGUCGGCACACGCAAGGACCCCCGGCUCCCCGCUAGUAUCCCAGUGGUACCUUCCCCCAAGAUUGUGACCCCCCCACCAGAGCCUCACACACUGGGUCUCCCCUGAUCUCUGAGUUUGUUUCUUCCUGUGUCCCUAGAUCCCAUUGUUUUACAUCAUUGUUUGUCACUCUG